UCAGGACAGGCAUAAUCCCCGGGAAACUGGGGCUAAUACCAGAUAGGCACCCUCAACUGGAAUGUGUCGGUGUCGAAAGCUCCGGCGCGUGAGGAUGGGCGUGCGGCAGAUUAGGUUGUUGGCGGGGUAACAGCCCACCAAGCCGACGAUCGGUACGGGCAGUGAGAGCUGUAGCCCGGAGAUGGGGACUGAGACAAGGCCCCAGGCCCUACGGGGCGCAGCAGGCGCGAAACCUUCACAAUGCUCGAAAGAGUGAUGAGGGUACUCCGAGUGCCAGUGCUUAGCACUGGCUUUUCUGCAGCGUAAAUAGUUGAAGGAAUAAGGGCUGGGCAAGACCGGUGCCAGCCGCCGCGGUAACACCGGCAGCCCUAGUGGUGACCGCUUUUAUUGGGCCUAAAGCGUUCGUAGCCGGGCCGGUAAGUCCUUGGGUAAAUCCUGCGUCUCAAGCGCGGGAAUUCUAAGGAUACUACUGGCCUUGAGGCCGGGAUAGGCGAGAGGUACUCCCGGGGUAGGGGUAAAAUCCUAUAAUCCUGGGGGGACCACCGAUGGCGAAGGCAUCUCGCUGGAACGGGCCUGACGGUGAGGGACGAAACCCAGGGGAGCGAGCCGGAUUAGAUACCCGGGUAGUCCUGGGCGUAAAUGAUGUGGGCUUGGUGUGAGCGCAUCGACGAGGUGCGCUUGUGCCGGAGGGAAGCCGUUAAGCCCACCGCCUGGGGAGUACGGUCGCAAGGCUGAAACUUAAAGGAAUUGGCGGGGGAGCACAAGGG
RNAcentral lists this ribosomal RNA (767 nucleotides) under uncultured archaeon. RNAcentral's name for it is "bacterial SSU rRNA". It matches the Rfam family "Archaeal small subunit ribosomal RNA", at positions 115 to 887 of the family's 1478-position model. The record is from RNAcentral.